Molecule: small nucleolar RNA, 132 nt
Filed under: Carlito syrichta (Philippine tarsier)
Lineage: Eukaryota; Metazoa; Chordata; Mammalia; Primates; Tarsiidae
Description: Small nucleolar RNA SNORA9 (ENSTSYG00000034637.1)
Rfam family: Small nucleolar RNA SNORA9
About the family: ACA9 is a member of the H/ACA class of snoRNA that guide the sites of modification of uridines to pseudouridines.
Source: Rfam by way of RNAcentral
UGGCAAGCGUCCUGCGUACUUGGGCCUGCUGUGACCUGAGCGUCCUACAGUGCUCACCAGCACAGUUUUGAGACAGUCUGAGGCUUUGUCCUGCCCCACCCAGAGCCAAGGGUAUAGACAUUUCAGACAAUU